ACACCUCAACUCUUCAUGGUUUUCCAUGAUGAGCUUGGACUUUGGGGGUCUUGCUGGCCUGUGGUCGGCUCCUCUCAAAUGAAUCAGCUUGCCAGUUUUUGGUGGGCAUCACAGGUGUGAUAACUAUCUACGCUUGUGGUUUUCCACCAGGGUAACCUUCAGCAGUGGAGGUUCACUGGAGCUUACAAAUGUCUCUCCUCUGUGAGGACAGCCCUUUGAAU
RNAcentral lists this unclassified non-coding RNA (221 nucleotides) under uncultured Tomentella. Its description in RNAcentral is "sequence contains ITS2". Lineage: Eukaryota; Fungi; Basidiomycota; Agaricomycetes; Thelephorales; Thelephoraceae. The record is from RNAcentral.